Long non-coding RNA from Tympanuchus pallidicinctus (lesser prairie-chicken), 8134 nucleotides. RefSeq lists it as uncharacterized. NCBI's taxonomy places the organism in Eukaryota, Metazoa, Chordata, Aves, Galliformes, Phasianidae. The record is from RefSeq and is a predicted model, not a curated record. The transcript is spliced from 5 exons.
GGGCGCCAUUUUGUGAGCGGUCGGAGCUCGGCUGGUGCUCGCUGGCUGCCUUUCCUGGACCUUGGCAUCUCCUUGCUGACUGGAAGGACCAGGAUUUUCAGGACUGGACCCAGAUGGCACAUCUCCAGAAACAGCAUCUUGCAAAGGCUAAUUUUAGAUAUGUGCCAGAAUGAUGCUUCUGCAUGAGGAACAGAAAAAUAGCUGCCCACAGCCAUCUUUCUCAGAGUGCACCUUCUUUUUCACAGUAGCCUAUUCAGUUUCUCAAGAACUGUACCCACAUAAGGAGAAUCUUCCCUUCCCCUGAAGCAGGACGGAUGGUACCCACCCUAUUAUUCAUUCUGCUUGGACUGCCACAGCAAUGAUCCCUGCACUGGCCAAAAUCAGAAUCCAUAACAUAAUCAUAGGGCCCCUGUAGGAAAUUUGUUUAUUGCAACAGCAUGGCAUGCUGUGGGAGAACUUCACCAACAAAUCCCCCUACUCCUCACUGCAAACCAUAAGAUGUAAAAAAUGCAUUUUACCUGAACUGAGAUGUGGGCGUCAUCUCCUGGUAAAAACAUUUUAUUCCCCUUUUUUUUCCAUUCAAGGUGUGGCAUAGGAUAGGCUGACACCUCACAGCCAAAAAUGACAUCGUUGCCUGUGAAAUUCUGGACAUCUUGGGGUGGCAUAGAAAUCACAGGAGCUGCAAAGACCCAACAGUAUUGCUUUAGGAGACCGUGAGCGAAAGCCAACACAAAAGGAUGUAACACCAGCCCUUGUUUUAGGUAACUUUUCCACCUCACAUGUUUGGAAGACCAAAAGAUUCCAAGCAGCUUUUAAAGCUCAGAAAACUUCACAUCGCAUUGAAGUGUGAACAGGUGAAAGGUGCCCGGAGUAAUAAUGUAAAGAAUGAGAGCAGCACAUGAGCAGGAGACAGUAUUCCCUCUUACAGCCUGACAAGUCCUUCCACUAACAGUCACCAUGGAGGGGCAUUUAUUCACUAAAUGUACCACCAUGGUCAGAAAAAGGAAGAAACUCAAAGCUGCAAAGAGCAGGAAGUCAGUCUGCAGGAGCUGCAACGGAGAAAUGUGCAACUCCUGGAGAAAGCUGAUAGGUGCUGAAUGUCGUCUCGAAACCCUUUCCCUCCAAGAGGUUGCAAGAGGUCCUAGGAGGUGGGAGACCUGACAGCUGACAGUAGCCUCAGGUGAGUUCCUAAGUAACUGACUGCCCCUCAGAUGCUGUCUCUCUGGAGCUUCACAAGGGGUUUAAAGGAGAUUUAGUUUUUGUCUCAGAGUGACAGGAAUGCAUGUGCCAGAAGCCAAUAUUUCUGGAAAGGAGAAUUCGUCUAUGUCCACUGUCUGAGUAAACUGACAAACAAAAAUAAAGCAGAAAAUCACAUGGGUAAGGCUCUAAACAAAAACAUACAUGAUUACAGCAGACUUUAAUUAUUGUCAGAUCUUUCAUAGAGAUGUUGAAGUUUGUAAAUUCCCUCACCUUCAUAGAUGGACACAUUCUCCUGCCCCAUGUAUGCAUGUGUGCACAACACAUUCAAGGUAACUGGAUGCACAGAAAGGAGAGCAGCCUUGGCUACUAGCUAAUUUUAAAAGAGCACAACCUUUUAAGCUGGGGCAUGCUUUUGAAAGCUUAAAGCAUGCUCACCACUCUACACAAGCAUUACAGACUGUUCUUUGAAUAGUGAAAUGCACAGAGCCAACGUACCACCAAAGUAGGGCCUGAGGUAUUUGUUGUAUCCCAUCGUGAGGUUCUUAAAUCCAGGGAGGGAUGUUGCGUCACUGCCACCCAAACUGGACACAUGUCCAAGUGAGCAUUUCCUGAGGACACAAAUAAUGUACUGCUAAGUAUGUGGCCAGGCAUGCUGGGCACAUCAGGUGUGCAGCUGCAUCCCCAGCCUGUGUUCAAAGAAGCAAAUUACUUAAAAUAUUUAUUUAAAAAAGUACAUCAUUGAAAUAAUGAACAUUUACUGACACUGCUUACCUUGGCUGAAUAAUUAAUACCUUAGAGGGGUGGGAAUACAGCAAAUAGCCUGAACAAAUAAUCUCUGGUUUCCAGACAGUGGCUUAAGGACAUUCUUAAAAGGCAAAUCAAGCAAGGGCAAUAUAUCACAAAGCUUAAUAGUAACCUGCAAUCUCCCCUUCUCAUUCCUCCUCAUAAAAUGUAUACAAGGAACCUUUUUCCUCCUACAUACAAUAUAACCCAGGACAAAUCUUACUGCCCAACAGCUCCUCCUUCUUAAUCAUCAUUCCCAUAAGCAAGCUUUCAUCCUUAUUUGUUAGCAUUGGGCAGCAUCCCAACAGCUGCCAGAGUGAAGCCUCUAAGAAUGCCAAGAAGUGGAGAGGUAAAACAGUGAGCUCUUCACAGACAGCAAGGCAGCACCGUGAGCAGGACUACCACUCCAAAUUACCACUACAUAUCAAAAUUAACAUUUUCUGUACUGAAGAUACAGCAGAUACGUGGCACUGUGAGGUUCCCAGAGCUGUGCCAUCCUGUAAAUAGAAAGCUACAGAGUUUGGAGGCCAUAAAAAAGGUGCCAUGGUGCAGUGUGCUUGUGGAGGCAGGUGUUCACUUGAUGAAAAUGUGAGUGAGCCAUUAUGAGUUUGAUACUGCUCUGUGAAGGGCUGAAGGAGGUGCUGCCUCUCUCCAGAGACUCAGGACUGCUGGCCUGUCCUUUAAAGCUGGGUUAAUAGUCCUUGGACGCUUGCUGAAGAUUUUAGAUCAAAAAGAAGCUUACAGCAGAACUGAGUAGUUAUUGUGCAGCAUUAGCUAUAUUAGAGCCUUUAGAACUUGACUGCAGUCAGGGAUGGCAGUAACAGCUGGAAGAAAUGGGGUGGAAGAGGACACUGAGCAAAACCACCACAAUUUCCUGCUCUUGAACAGAGAAAAAGAGCUUGCAUUAUCAAUGUACAUUAUAUUUUGGGAACCUGUGCAGGUUGCUCCCUCUGCCUGACCCCUUAAUGCACCCAACUUCCUAUGAGUGAGCUGUAAAACUGGAAGCAUUGUUUCCUUUUGAUCCACAUUACUUAUGUUAAUUGUAAUUCAUAUGACCUGUAAAGCAAAACAAACGCUCUACUUGCCUUUGUGUUUGAAGGAAAAGACACAGACUGAAGAAGCAGAAAUAUCUGCAGAACAUCUCCGGAGAUUAUUUCAGUAUUUGCUCUGCUCUUCUGUGAAAGAAAAGGAGAUUUUUGUGAUUUAAGGAAAACUAUUUGCUUAGGAACAUGAUUUAGUGGAGGGCUGUUAGAGUUAGGGUAGUAUGGUUGGGUUGCGGUUGGACUUGAUGAUCUUUAAGGUCUUUUCCAAUCUGAGCAAUUCUAUGAUUCUAUUUUAGGUGAAGGGGCUGGAAAAGAAGUGCUGCACAGAGUCAGAAUCCCACACAGCAAAAUGUUUAACAUCCUCAACACACAGUGACACCUGCUUUUUCCAUCUAGCUCAAACCAUGCUAUGUUUGCACUUCCCUCAUAAAAGAUACUCCGUUCCAAAAGUCCUUUUGCAAGCUCACCAGACUUUGGUUACCACUGUUGCACUCCAUUAGCUUGUACCCGAAGCAGCCCAUGCUAUUAGUAGUAGCAUUGGUGAGUCACUCAGCAUGCAGCACUGGAUGAAAUCAUUCUACUUCAAAUGGGUUUCGUUGACCUUUCUGGGAGUGGAACCAACUCCUGGAUUCUGGCCUGGAACUCCCACAGGCUCAUGAUUGUGCCACAAUGGGCAACUCUGUCCAUGCUCUGCUCUGCAUCCCUGCUCUCUGCCUGAAAGGCUGCAUCAACUGCACACCUUUAUUGGGGGUAUGGAUAACUGCCACACAACUGUGUGCUCUCACAGCAAGCUGCUGCUGCAACAGGGUAAUGAAGGCACAGCUGCCAAGGGGGAACUGCCACUGGACCAUCACUAGUUUGAGCUGGAAAUACAACACUGCUUGACCACUAGACUGUUCAAAGUGUACCUCAAUGUAUCAGUUUUCCUACAGGUAGUGGCAAAGCAACAUCAUUCUUACAUGUAAGUUUUCCUCUCCGUCAGACUGUCACAAAUUGGGAAUGGCUGUACGAAUCAUCAGUCCCUGAGCCCUGACUUGCACAACUGUGAAUGAGCACUUCAACUUCAAACGUGGCUACUCCAUAGUAACCCACGGGUUGGGAAUUUUCCUGCUUGGGUUAGAGUCUUUCUGCAGCAGCUCAAAACAGCCCAGAGGACACUGUGCCUUCUCAGCUAACUGUACAGCUCUGGUGCAGUGGAACAGUCGUGCACCAGGCAGCAGGGACAUCUUUGUCUAUACACAGCCAGUGACAAUACCUGAACGUUCAAAGCACCACGAAUGCAGGGCCAUACAACAAGAGUCCCACUGGAGAAAGGCAGGAUAUAUUUCAAAGUAAAAUAUGCUCUCAUAUCUGCCUAACAUCUGAAUUCCUAAUAAGUCUUUGCGCUUUUUGUCCUAACAUGGUGUUUGGAUGUUUCCAGAUGUUCCCAACAGCUCCUCAGGACCAUGUAAUCAUAGAGGGCUAGAGAGAUUAAUCAUCUACCUGUUCACACAGCAUUAGACCACAAUUUUGAUGAGAAAAGAAGGAUCAGUGCAGUAAAGUAAGAAAGGGUGAUUUAACAAACCAGCAUGUGAUUAAGUAUAAAAACUGAUAAAUUUCAGCUGAGGAACCCUUCAUGGACAACCCUCAUGGGCAUCCAUUUUGCAAAGGAGUUGCAAUUCCUAGCAUUUUGGUGCAUCCGUUUCUGAAUUUCAUUCUGUCUGUCUAUCCCAGUUACUGAGACCUUGUUUUGAAAAAAAAACAAGUCAAAUUCUAUUUGUUUUGAUGACUAAUGCACAGAGGCCUCUUAUGUAGUAAAAAGCAUUCCUGUAAAGCCUUGUUUAUGGCUCUUGUUAACUGAAAUGCACACUGCAACGUGUGUUACUUCUAUCUAGCAAAGACAGCAGAUUGAAACAAACCAAACCAACCUGGAUAAAUCUCUAACUGCUGCUUCCACAAACCCGAAUGAACUCCACAGUCCUGUUUUCCUCCUUCCAAACACAGCUGUGAAGACAAGUAUAUCAAGAGUUGGGAAGCAGUGAUCUGUAAGUACCCAAGAGAGCUAGAAACUCAAUGUGCCAGAGCACUCACAAGGCCAGAAAAGGGUGACAUCUGUGCCUAAAACUGAAUAUCACAAACGCAGUUUUCAGCUAUGUACUGAAAUAUAGAGAGAGAAGUGCCAAAACUGUGAGACUGUGCUUUUUGUGGAAGCCUAAGAAUUAUACUGUAUCAGGAAGCAGAACUACAAUUCUGCUUUUAUAGUUCAGAAGCUUUCAUCAGAGAUUACUAACUUCAUUACUACAGUAUGCUGGGAAGGAACAGUUUUAAGAUUGUGCAUUUAUGCUUCUCUAUUUAGUAAGGGAUUACAAUGGACUUUUAACAGAAAAAGAAACUUAGACACUGUUAAAUCUUGACAUUUUGUAUGUAAUAGCACAGCGCAGGCAAUACCAGUAGUUGUGAAAGCUUUGCUUCCAACACCAGUGUUACCUAAAAUCAUUUAUUGCAUAUGUUUAUUGCAUAUGCUCAGAAAUAAAGAAAGCCUUGAGAACUUAACAGCUCACCCAGCUCCAUGCUCUUCCUACUGACAGGGAAUUAUUCAAAGAUGCAAGUAUUACAGCAAAACACGCAAGCAGACUCCUCAGGAGUUGAGCCUGCAUCUGCUUCCAUAGAAGUUCAUGAAAUAAUGCUUAUUUACACCAGCCAAGACCAUAUGUAUAAGCCUCCACUAUUACUCAGUUCUAUGUUCCUUAAUUCUACUGCAUUCCUUUAAUCUGGAAGGCUGUUAAGAGUGAAAACCCAAAAGGAGAAAUAUGAUAGUAGAGAGGUGUACACUGACACCUGGUGGAGCCCGGAUAGCUUUGCACUGCCGUCAGCAUCACCCACAGCGAUCCACUCCUCAUCAAGCAGAUACACAGCAAGGGAAACAGAAAGCUCUACAGGCCCACACUACCUCCCACUUCACAGGUGAAAGCCCCAUCUGUGCCUCACUGCACAGAGCAGAAGAUCAGCACAUUCUCUGAUAUUCUCAGGGCAAAUGACAUCCCAAAGCCAGGCAGAAGGAGCUGUUGCAAGAAUCUGAAAAACCAGCUACAAGAGCAGACCCACAGGAGGAGUCAGUGAUCUGCAGGCAGUAAUAGUGGCUGAGGGAAUUGGGAUGGAAAGCAUCAUGACACCCUCACUGGGAGUUUCCAGCUUCGUGACGCUGCUCCAUCCCAUGCCGAGCUUUCUUUGGCCACUCCUGUGAUUGCAGUUGCUAAGUACAAUUAUAAAUCCAUGAAAGAAGAAGAGCACUGUGGAUUUUGGGAUCAAAUUUAACAGGCUCUGUAGAAGCCAAGAUAUUACAUCCAGGUCAGCAAGUUUAUUUAGAAGAGGUUUGAGUGACUGAAGCCUAACAAUCUGCCUUUAAAAAAAAAUAGCACUUCUUCCCCUGCCCACUGUGAAUUAUGGACAGCUGUCUGAUCUUGAAUAAUUAGUUUGGGGAUGUGGGUGGGAAGGGAAUUUUGUAUGGAAGGGUUCAUAGCACAACCUGCUCUUGGCACAGCUGCAGCCAACAAGCUGUAUAUUUUGAUGAUUAUGACAGCUGUUCAAAUUUUAAUUUACUGGCCAGACAAGUCAUGAAAGUUUUAUUUUCAGUUCAUUCAAAAUGAUUUGCCUGUCAAGUACCUCAAAUUUAGAGUUAACUUGAAAUUAUUUCUUUUUUCCUUUUUUUUUUUUUUUUUUUUUUUAAUGUUGCCCAGAGAAGUGGUGGAUGCCCUGGCCUUGGAGACACUCAAGGUCAGGCUGGAUGGGGCUCUGAGCACCUGAUGUAGUGUACGUGUCCCUAUUCAUUGCAGGGAGUUGGACGAGAUGACCUGUAAGGUUACCUCCCAGCUCAAAUGGUUCUGUCAUUCUAUGUUAAAUAUCUUUUUUGUCAGGCCAGGAGAAAACAUGGAACUACUACAAGGAAGAGAAAAAUUAAACAAGACAAUGUGCCACAUAUUUCUGCAAGCCACUCCUACUGGAAACCUCACAGAUUUGAUGCUAAAAAUCAACGUAUACAGAAUUAACCUUAUUUUUACAGAACUAAGUAGUUAGUGAGGUCCUGUUGUGUGUCAACAGAUACAUAAGUUCAGCCCUCAGCUGGUCAGGACCAAAGGCAACAUCAGAUGUGGAUGCAGGGAAAGGGGAUGAGACAUGGAGCAGCACCACACAAGCUGGUAAUACCAAAAUGAAUUGUCUGAAUUUUUAACUUUGAUUAUUUUAUUUUUUUUUUGCUUUAAUAUUUUUUAACUAAAGGCAGUGAGAAGACUUCCAAGUCUGCUAACAAAGCACACUGCCAUGAAGUCUUUCCUAUUUUAGCCUUCUGUCCAAAUCUCAAAUUCAUUUCAGUUUUUUUUUCUAAACAAAACACUUAAUUUCUUCCCCUUUGAUUUCCCUGUUUGAAGAACUCAAAUUUCAGCCUGCUUGUCCGAUAACAGGACAAAUGAAGGAGAACACCAGCAGCCCAAUUUCUGCCUGGAACAGCAGGAGGCACAUGCUGAAGCUGUUAGCCUCAGCUCAGCAAGGCACGUGCCAGGCAGAUGCCAGCUUCCAUAACCUGCUUUUUGCUGUUCACUUGCCUUCAGUGGUUAUCAGCAAUCACGGACAGGUAAACAGGUGACUUCAUCAUAGCCACAGAAAUUUCAAGAACUUCCGUGAACUUUUGCUAUUGGUAAAAAGUGGAUUCUUUCCAUCCACACCACUGUCAUGACAUCACAUGAAAAAUGACCUCUCAGUUCCAGGAACAGCAGCACCACCGAGGGCCUCGCUGAGGCUGCUGCACACACCCUGCUUGCUUGAGGCAGCCCUUGCUGUGUUUCAGUGUGAGGCAGAGCUCGGUGCUGUGUGGGACCAGCCCCUGUGUAUGCACAGGAUCACACAGUGGGGAUGGGGCAGGAGCUGCACCAGAAGGCAGCUGUCCCAAGGGCCUGGCUGCACUAACACAACAUAGUAUAUAGACUCUGCUUUGUGAGCUAGCACUUGGAGUGCCACAGACUUUUAUACACACUGAUCUCACAGAUAGUACUGUUAGUUUAGGGCAGUAUGAGAGCAGGGAAGCUCUCUUGUUACUUACAUGACACCAUAUGCUGCAGGUCUGGUUCUUGUCUUAU